GCCGGAGUGGCGGAAUCGGUAGACGCACCGGAUUCAAAAUCCGGCGGCCGCGAGGCUGUGCGGGUUCAAGUCCCGCCUCCGGUA
Molecule: transfer RNA, 84 nt
Filed under: Allomicrovenator marinus
Lineage: Bacteria; Deltaproteobacteria; Bradymonadales; Allomicrovenatoraceae
Description: Microvenator marinus tRNA
Rfam family: tRNA
About the family: Transfer RNA (tRNA) molecules are approximately 80 nucleotides in length. Their secondary structure includes four short double-helical elements and three loops (D, anti-codon, and T loops).
Source: Rfam by way of RNAcentral